CCCAGUAAACGGCGGCCGUAACUAUAACGGUCCUAAGGUAGCGAAAUUCCUUGUCAGGUAAGUUCUGACCCGCACGAAAGGCGUAACGAUUUGGGCGCUGUCUCGGCAGCAGACUCGGUGAAAUCUUAGUACCUGUGAAAAUGCAGGUUACCCGCAACUAGACGGAAAGACCCCAUGGAGCUUUACUGUAGCCUGAUAUUGAAUUUUGAUCAAAGAUGUACAGGAUAGGUGGGAGGCGAAGAGACGUGUACGCCAGUAUACGAGGAGCCGCUGUUGGGAUACCACUCUUGUUUGAUUGAAGUUCUAACCUGCACCCAUGAACUGGGUGAGGGACCGUGUCAGGUGGGCAGUUUGACUGGGGCGGUCGCCUCCUAAAGAGUAACGGAGGCGCCCAAAGGUACGCUCAGAUUGGAUGGAAAUCAAUCGACGAGUGCAAAUGCAGAAGCGUGCUUGACUGUGAGACAAACAAGUCGAACAGGGACGAAAGUCGGGAUUAGUGAUCCGGCGGUGCCGAAUGGAAGGGCCGUCGCUCAACGGAUAAAAGCUACCCUGGGGAUAACAGGCUGAUCUCGCCCAAGAGUUCACAUCGACGGCGAGGUUUGGCACCUCGAUGUCGGCUCAUCGCAUCCUGGAGCUGAAUUCGGUUCCAAGGGUUGGGCUGUCCGCCCAUUAAAGCGGUACGCGAGCUGGGUUCAGAACGUCGUGAGACAGUUCGGUCCCUAUCUGUUGUGGGCGUUGGAGAUCUGAGGAGAGCUGUCCUUAGUACGAGAGGACCGGGAUGGACCUACCGCUGGUGCACCAGUUGUUCCGCCAGGAGCAUAGCUGGGUAGCUAAGUAGGGAAGGGAUAAGCGCUGAAAGCAUCUAAGCGCGAAGCCUACUCCAAGAUGAGAUCUCCCAUUCGUAUAACGAAGUAAGACCCCUUGAAGACGACGAGGUGGAUAGGUCAGAGAUGGAAGUGUAGCGAUACAUGGAGUUGACUGAUACUAAUAGGUCGAGGACUUAAUCAC
RNAcentral lists this ribosomal RNA (1008 nucleotides) under human gut metagenome. Its description in RNAcentral is "bacterial LSU rRNA". It matches the Rfam family "Bacterial large subunit ribosomal RNA", at positions 1919 to 2925 of the family's 2925-position model. The record is from RNAcentral.